This 406-nucleotide ribosomal RNA is filed under the name uncultured bacterium. RNAcentral's name for it is "partial 16S ribosomal RNA". It matches the Rfam family "Bacterial small subunit ribosomal RNA", at positions 30 to 526 of the family's 1533-position model. The record is from RNAcentral.
AUUGAACGCUGGCGGCAGGCCUAACACAUGCAAGUCGAACGAGUGGCGGACGGGUGAGUAAUGUCUGGGAAACUGCCUGAUGGAGGGGGAUAACUACUGGCAACGGUAGCUAAUACCGCAUACCAUCAGAUGUGCCCAGAUGGGAUUAGCUUGUUGGGGGGGUAACGGCUCACCAAGGCGACGAUCCCUAGCUGGUCUGAGAGGAGGACCAGCCACACUGUAACUGCGACACGUUCCAGACUCCUACGGUAGGCAGACGUGGUGAAGAUUGCACAAUGGGCGCAAGCCUGAGGCAGCCAUGCCGCGUGUAUGAAGAAGGCCUUCGGGUUGUAAAGUACUUUCAGCGGGGAGGCGGUACCCGCAGAAGAAGCACCUGCUAACACCGUGCCAGCCGCCGCGGUAAUAC